This 624-nucleotide ribosomal RNA is filed under the name Aphanomyces cf. repetans. RNAcentral describes it as "eukaryotic LSU rRNA". It matches the Rfam family "Eukaryotic large subunit ribosomal RNA", at positions 86 to 630 of the family's 3401-position model. Lineage: Eukaryota; Oomycota; Saprolegniomycetes; Saprolegniales; Verrucalvaceae. The record is from RNAcentral.
ACGGCGAGUGAAGCGGGAAGAGCUCAAGCUUAAAAUCUCCACGCAAGUGGCGAAUUGUAGUCUAUUGAAGCUGUUGUCAGCAUAGCGACUUGGGAAAAGUCCCUUGGAAGAGGGCAGCAUAGAGGGUGAUACUCCCGUCUCUGCCCAAGUUGUCUGUGUGUACGAUACGCUUUCUUUGAGUCGAGUUGUUUGGGAAUACAGCUCAAAGUAGGUGGUAAAUUCCAUCUAAAGCUAAAUAUUGGUGCGAGACCGAUAGCGAACAAGUACCGUGAGGGAAAGAUGAAAAGAACUUUGAAAAGAGAGUUAAAGAGUACCUGAAACUGUUGAAAGGGAACCGUAUCGUGUCUAGUGUGUAUCCUGUGCAUAUUUCACUGGCGGUCGCAAGAUUGCUGGUGCCCUGUGCAUGGGUGUGACGUCAGAGUCAGUUUGUGCUGCGGGAGAUGGCUAGUGAGGAGGUGCGUCCCUUUUGGGAAAGUUACAGCUCGCUAGCUAGUAGCCGUGGCGUAGACUGAGGUGCCUACAACACGCUCUGGGGUCUUUUGUUGUCUCGUGUGGGUUGUUGCCUGGAUAGCUUGCUAUGCUGGUGAUAAUGUAUGCGAUUGAUGGCAGGAGCAACCUCUGCUG